AAAGUCGUAACAAGGUCUCCGUUGGUGAACCAGCGGAGGGAUCAUUAUUGAGUGUUACAACUCCCAAACCCACUGUGAACCAUACCGACGUUGCUUCGGCGGCGACCGCUCCGGCGGCGCCGCCGGGGGUCAGAAACUCUUGCUCUUAGCGGUCUUCUCUCUGAGUGGCACAAAGCAAAAAUAAAUUAAAACUUUCAACAACGGAUCUCUUGGUUCUG
RNAcentral lists this unclassified non-coding RNA (218 nucleotides) under Ascomycota sp. RNAcentral's name for it is "partial contains small subunit ribosomal RNA, internal transcribed spacer 1, and 5.8S ribosomal RNA". The stretch from base 1 to 47 matches the Rfam family "Eukaryotic small subunit ribosomal RNA", at positions 1785 to 1831 of the family's 1831-position model. Lineage: Eukaryota; Fungi; Ascomycota. The record is from RNAcentral.